Molecule: ribosomal RNA, 266 nt
Filed under: Pantoea sp. CC47
Lineage: Bacteria; Pseudomonadati; Pseudomonadota; Gammaproteobacteria; Enterobacterales; Erwiniaceae
Description: partial 16S ribosomal RNA
Rfam family: Bacterial small subunit ribosomal RNA
Source: RNAcentral
UUGCUUCUCGGGUGACGAGUGGCGGACGGGUGAGUAAUGUCUGGGGAUCUGCCCGAUAGAGGGGGAUAACCACUGGAAACGGUGGCUAAUACCGCAUAACGUCGCAAGACCAAAGAGGGGGACCUUCGGGCCUCUCACUAUCGGAUGAACCCAGAUGGGAUUAGCUAGUAGGCGGGGUAACGGCCCACCUAGGCGACGAUCCCUAGCUGGUCUGAGAGGAUGACCAGCCACACUGGAACUGAGACACGGUCCAGACUCCUACGGGA